Stegodyphus dumicola is the source of this 706-nucleotide long non-coding RNA. The record is from RefSeq and is a predicted model, not a curated record. Lineage: Eukaryota; Metazoa; Arthropoda; Arachnida; Araneae; Eresidae.
GAAAAAAUAUUUAUGUACUCACAUUAUCUUCAGUACAGGCUGUCCGUGCCCAACGUUUUAAACAGGAUAGUACCGUUUUUUCGACAUUUCCCUGCUGUCUCAUCGAUAUGAUUUAAAUGACAAAUUUUCCCUUUUUUAGUGAAGCUAUAGAUAUACUUUUACUAGUUCAACAGAGCAUCAGAAACUAUUUUGUCUGUCAUCCUGAACCUAGGCAUAUAUGGUUCUCUUCGCUAGAAUGAGGUUCAGUUCCAUGCGGCUUUCACGCUAGGGCCGGAAGUCAUCCUGGCGGUGUAAAGGCCCACGUGUAAUUUGGGUUUGAGAUCUAUCUUUUAAGGAACACCUUAUAACAAAUUCACUUGAAUGAGCAACUGCUGAAGUUAUUGAAACUACUUUCAUAUAGGGUUCCAGUAUAUCACACGUCUUUCAAAGGACACUGUUGCUACACUGCUGUGCACCCCUUCUAUAAUACAAAAUUAUGGACUAAAAGAAUUAGUCACUCAUCACGCAGUCUGGAUUCUCAGUAACAGAUCUACAGUCCGAUUUUGCCUGGCUCUCAAGACAGAAACUCUUUAGCAAAAUGCGGCGCAAAAUCCUAUAUUUCCCUCUUUAUAAUUUUCUGUCUGGUUGCUUACAUAGAUCUAUGCCUAUGCAUUUAAAAAUUAAUUGUGUGUUCCUAAUUAAAAUUAUUCUUUUCAUGAAAAAAAAA